RNAcentral lists this long non-coding RNA (1263 nucleotides) under Olea europaea subsp. europaea. Lineage: Eukaryota; Viridiplantae; Streptophyta; Magnoliopsida; Lamiales; Oleaceae. The record is from RNAcentral.
UCUCGAGUUAAGUUUCGUCUAAGCAAGUUCAGUGAUGGCAAAUAGUUACGACAGCAGAAAGUGUUGAACUUCUCCUCUGCAGAAUUUAUUAUUAAAAAAAAAAAUAGAAGGGAAGCCUCGUCAACUAGUAGGUGGGUCGACUGGUUUUCAAUUGAGGUACUAGCCAGUUCAUGAGGUUUCAUUCAGUUUUUUAGCAUCCAAGUUUUAGGUUGUAAUUAGAUCAGUUUCAAGUUCUUUUUAAUUGCACUAAAUUGACUCACGUGAUUUCCAAAAUACUACUCUUUAUGCCAUCAAUUUUUAUCUAAACCAAAUAGGGGCUAUAUAUAUGUGUGUGUGGAAUCCUUCACAUCUCGAAAGAGGAUAUGUUCCUUGUUUGGGAGAUUGAAAUAUAGAUUUUUUUCCUCCUCCUUUGGAUUGGGGCAUCCAUUGGUGGAAUUCAGUAGGAAAAUCAAUACUGUGUACUUCGAUCUUCGAAAAUUAAAAGGGAGCUCAGUCACAAGUAUGCAUGAAAGAUGGACGCUUUCUCGUAUUUACAUUUGAAAAUUUUUCCAGAUGUUAGAAAUUUUCUUCAAAUGAAAGUUUAUGCAAAGGUUUCAAUCCAAGGACAAUCCAAAACCACCAAGAAAACCCCAGCCGACAUGGAAGGUGAGAUAAAUCCUAGAUGGAAUUUUCCCAUAGGGUACGCCAUAGGAGACGCAGCAGUCCAACAAGAAGGUAUAAAUCUUGUAAUUAUACUGUAAAGGGACUCUUGGAGACAGAUUUAUUGGUGAAGUGAAUUUACCACUGAAAAGUCUCUUUUUAAAAUGGAUUAAGUGCUCAAAAUAUGAGCUAUGCUAUCGCGGGAACCCCUAAAGGAAGAAUGAGUAUGUUAUACAGAUUCUGUGAAAGGACUUUUGUUAAGAAACCUUCUGGUUGGAACAAGGCACUAGAUUUUGGAUUCAUGAUACUAGUUAGAGGAGCACUUCUUCUAUUAGGGGGAGACGAUGAUCCUAUGAGAUUCUGGUUUUUACAGACUCUAAGGAUGCAGAUGUUGUUAAAGACGGUGAUGUUUUCUACGAUGUCCCAGGUUCAGAUGGAGGGGACCAUUGUUAAGAUAAAUAUUUCUUUCUUAGAGAUAGCUGUCUAGAACUUGAUUUUCUUUAAUGUUAGGAGUUCUCACGCUCUUUUCAUUAUGUCAACUGGAUCGAUAUCAAGUGUAUCGAAUGAUUUUGAGCCACGUAAGAACUAAAGAAUUAGGAUUGUUGUCGGAGCUUUGAUUUACAA